This 445-nucleotide ribosomal RNA is filed under the name uncultured bacterium. Its description in RNAcentral is "SSU rRNA". It matches the Rfam family "Bacterial small subunit ribosomal RNA", at positions 26 to 518 of the family's 1533-position model. The record is from RNAcentral.
AGAACGAACGCUGGCGGCAGGCUUAACACAUGCAAGUCGAGCGCCCAGCAAUGGGAGCGGCGGACGGGUGAGUAACACGUGGGAACAUGCCUUUCGGUACGGAACAACUUCGGGAAACUGAAGCUAAUGCCGUAUGCGCCCUUACGGGGAAAGAUUUAUCGCCGAAAGAUUGGCCCGCGUCUGAUUAGCUAGUUGGUGAGGUAACGGCUCACCAAGGCUUCGAUCAGUAGCUGGUUUGAGAGAACGACCAGCCACACUGGGACUGAGACACGGCCCAGACUCCUACGGGAGGCAGCAGUGGGGAAUCUUGGACAAUGGGGGAAACCCUGAUCCAGCGAUGCCGCGUGAGUGAUGAAGGCCUUCGGGUUGUAAAACUUCUUUCGACGGGGACGAUAAUGACGGUACCCGUAGAAGAAGCUCCGGCUAACUUCGCGCCAGCAGCCGC